Molecule: non-coding RNA, 196 nt
Filed under: Pseudomonas sp. 8Z
Lineage: Bacteria; Pseudomonadati; Pseudomonadota; Gammaproteobacteria; Pseudomonadales; Pseudomonadaceae
Source: RNAcentral
UAGCCUUCUCGCUUUCGAGGUUCUUCCCGGCGCGCUGCCGGGAAGCUAAGAGGGAACAGGGUGAUGCCCUGGCUGUCCCCGCAACUGUGAAUGGCCUUAAACCCUUCGAGACACCACUGCCUUUGGCGGGAAGGUGAAGGAUGCACGAGCGUGCAGGCCGUGAGCCAGGAGACCUGCCUCGAUCAACAGCCAUUUU